This is a long non-coding RNA of Apis cerana (Asiatic honeybee), 827 nucleotides long. RefSeq lists it as uncharacterized. The record is from RefSeq and is a predicted model, not a curated record. Lineage: Eukaryota; Metazoa; Arthropoda; Insecta; Hymenoptera; Apidae.
CUUGAGCGUGCGCACCUUUCUCGAGAUGGAAACAGUUUAUUCUUAUCGUUGAAAUUCAAUAGAACACCAAUCUUCUUCUCGUUAACAUCUUUAUAUAUUACAUUGUGAAUACCGAACAGAUUUGUUUCAGUUUUAUAUGACUUUUAACUGAUUAUGCCAGAAUUAAACCUCGAAUAUAGUCAACGAUUCAUAUUCCAAGCACCUGUGUAUAUAUUCUUCGCAUAUAUCUGCCAUUUCAAAUGUUUCAAUUGAAAGAUUCAAUGUUAAUUUGCGCUGCGAUAUCAACAUCACAAUGGAACUUUUCAAUAAUCACUCAUAUCGAAAAAUUUUACAAACUGUUCCAUUUACGAAAAAGAACAUCGAAUGGAAAUUGUAUUUAUGAUUUAUCUUUCAUCAUCUAUGACUUUAUGUAGUUGCCAGAUUUAAUAAUCUUGCUUUGCAGAUUACAUCUUCGAUUGAAACAAUGCUAGAAAUUGAUGAAGAUAAUUCAGUUAAUGCGAUAAUUAAUAGAACUGUAUUCUCUUUAAUGCAUUAUUAAAUUGGAAUUCGAAGAAUAUCUAUAUUUCGAUUAAAUUGGAAAGAAAAGAAACAUGAGGAAUUAAAUAUGAGAGAUGCUAAUAUUCGCAUACAUUCAGGAAAGCCGAGAACGCGAAUUAUGUAACUGAAAAACGGCCAAAUACUUUAAUAUUAGAAGAGAUUUUUAUUAAACGAAUUGUAAACUUAUCUUUAAGAUAAUUUGAUUUGUAAUCUUUUAUGAAUUGCAAUUAUUUUUUGUUAUAUUUGUGUAACUUUCAUUUUCAGAUAAAAUAAAAAAGCUAACUCUAAAA